GACUUCGGUCUGGUGGCGAGUGGCGAACGGGUGAGUAAUGCAUUGGAACGUACCGAGUAGUGGGGGAUAACUAGUCGAAAGAUUAGCUAAUACCGCAUACGCAUUGAGAUGGAAAGCGGGGGAUCUUAGGACCUCGCGCUAUUUGAGCGGCCAAUGUCUGAUUAGCUAGUUGGUGGGGUAAAGGCCUACCAAGGCGACGAUCAGUAGCGGGUCUGAGAGGAUGAUCCGCCACACUGGGACUGAGACACGGCCCAGACUCCUACGGGAGGCAGCAGUGGGGAAUUUUGGACAAUGGGCGAAAGCCUGAUCCAGCCAUGCCGCGUGUCUGAAGAAGGCCUUCGGGUUGUAAAGGACUUUUGUCAGGGAAGAAAAGGUGAUUGCUAAUAUCAGUCGCUGAUGACGGUACCUGAAGAAUAAGCACCGGCUAACUACGUGCCAGCAGCCGCGGUAAUACGUAGGGUGCGAGC
Molecule: ribosomal RNA, 467 nt
Filed under: uncultured bacterium
Lineage: Bacteria
Description: bacterial SSU rRNA
Rfam family: Bacterial small subunit ribosomal RNA
Source: RNAcentral